AUAUUGGUCAAUGGGCGAGAGCCUGAACCAGCCAAGUCGCGUGAAGGAUGAAGGAUCUAUGGUUUGUAAACUUCUUUUAUAUGGGAAUAAAGUUAGGAACGUGUUCCUUUUGUGAUGUACCAGAUGAAUAAGCAUAGGCUAACUCCGUGCCAGCAGCCGCGGUAAUACGGAGGAUGCGAGCGUUAUCCGUAUUUAUUGGGUUUAAAGGGUGCGUAGGUGGUUAAUUAAGUCAGCGGUGAAAGUUUGUGGCUCAACCAUAAAAUUGCCGUUGAAACUGGUUGACUUGAGUAUAUUUGAGGUAGGCGGAAUGCGCGGUGUAGCGGUGAAAUGCAUAGAUAUCACGCAGAACUCCGAUUGCGAAGGCAGCUUACUAAACUAUAACUGACACUGAAGCACGAAAGCGUGGGGAUCAA
Molecule: ribosomal RNA, 413 nt
Filed under: uncultured bacterium
Lineage: Bacteria
Description: bacterial SSU rRNA
Rfam family: Bacterial small subunit ribosomal RNA
Source: RNAcentral